Saccharomycodes ludwigii is the source of this 160-nucleotide small nucleolar RNA. The record is from RefSeq and is a predicted model, not a curated record. Lineage: Eukaryota; Fungi; Ascomycota; Saccharomycetes; Saccharomycodales; Saccharomycodaceae.
AAAUGUGAUGAUUUUUGUUUAUUUAUCGACCGGGCGGACAUAUUUAAGUAUCUUCUAAUCACUAUUCCAAUGGGAUAGUAGCCGUGCUCUUUUGUGUACAAAAUUUAUUAAGGGGCAUUGGUUAGUUGAGAAGUGAUGAGUGGUCGCAAGAUAGCUGAUU